This 2806-nucleotide long non-coding RNA is filed under the name Brassica napus (rape). RNAcentral's name for it is "long non-coding RNA (BNAP_LNC008280)". Lineage: Eukaryota; Viridiplantae; Streptophyta; Magnoliopsida; Brassicales; Brassicaceae. The record is from RNAcentral.
GUAAAGGCUGCACAGGAAUCGAUGGAAGAUGCUUGAAAAGCCUCAUUCCCAGAAACAUCUCCAGCUGCUUUUGCCGUGAACUAUCAACCAUUGCAUUUUUAUAUCUUCUCUGUAAGGUAAUUUUCAUGUUUUUCUGUGCUGCAGAAAACUGUUUAAACGCUCCUGACUCUUCACUGAAGAUAUUGAGAACUUGGCUGUGCAUAGCUUUUGAGCCAGUAUAGAGAGUUGCAUGGAUAUCACCUUGUUGCAGAAAAAGAUCUGCGAGCUCAGACACAGGAGACAAGAUAGUUGAUCUCUUAAACUCCUCAAACCUCAUGUCAAGUCUCUUCCAUGGUUUAUCAGGACAUGGAUGACUCCAUGUUGUUGUCUUAGUAUUGUGAUCAAUAAAAUAAGAUUUUCCAGUGACUGCAUCAGCUCUUUUCUCCCAUCCCGGUGGAAGCGGAGCAGUAUAGCUACUCCCAGAAUUAUAACCAUAUCCAAUAUCAGUAUCAAGUGAUAUCCCCAGCCUUCUACAUUGCUCAACGAACACUUGAAGACCUAUAGAAGUAGCAGAGCCAUCAGCAAGACUUCCACCUCCAUUCGCGUUGUCCCUGGAGUAGGAUUUUGAAAGCAGAACCGCUCCUCUUCCGGCACAACAAGACUUGCAAGCUUUCUUCCUACACUGUAAACAUAAGAACACUGAGCCUGGCUCUCCCCCCAAACUCUUGGUAGUAGAUCCAACUGAAUUUUUGUUGACCUCGGCUCUGACUUGACACACUCCACCGUUACAACCCUCACCAAUUCCGUUAAUAUUCCAGAAAUCUAUCACACUAUUUUCCAGCUUCUCUAAAUCAAUAGAAGCUAUAAGUUUAUCUUCAAGAGAAGCCUGGCCAAGAACUGCAAGUGCAUUUGCUAUUCUGCAUAAUCUUCCAAUAUAUAACUCGUCGUGUGAAGAGUUCGGAUUAAUUGUAGCAGGAUCAAUUCCAAUUGAUAACAGUGCCCUAUCUCUUUCUGCUGCAGAAAUAUUCAGACGUAGCCGUUCAAUUUCAAGUUUAAUAGCUUCUAUAAACUCAAGCUUCCUUCCCUGUAUUAUAAUAGACAUGCAGAAAUUAAGUUUACAAUUAAAAUGGCAGUUUAAGAGGACAUAUAACAUCUGAGAUGAAUAGCUGAACCAAGAAAGGAGUCAUAAGAUCAGAAAUGGUAUGUGACAAGAUGAAGUAACAUACCAUGUUUGGACCCAUAACGGACUUCAGACAAUUUAAGUACAGAUGAGAACCACUCUCUCUAGAACUUUUAUCUUGUGAAGAAGACAUGCUGGGAACAGUUUCAGGACCACUAUAUUGAACAACUGCUUGGUCUAAGAAAUCAAGCAUGUCAUUUCCUCCACUUGCAACACAUUCCACCGCUGGUUGUGGGAAGGGGUCAGAAGCAGAAACCUCUCCUGUCAAAAGGUCAAGCAGAUUACUAGGAAACGGAUCAUUCUGUUGUACUGGUGUGGACACAGUUUCAGCCUGUAAAGAUUUUGCGGCAAAAGGAUUCGAGUCAGAACAAGAUGAAAAAGGAACUUCAUCUUCUUUUGUUUUCCCUGCAAUCUCAGCCAAUCUUCCUCCGGUACGUUCGCUAGUAAACAUUCCUUUCCAUGGAAGAGAAACUCCAAGGACUUCUAUCUGUAUCACAAACACAAUGCAGAAGAAGUUUUGUUUUAAACUGUUUUGCUUUCAUGUUGGCUAGUCAUACUAUUAGAUAAAUCAUUAAUUUUAGUCCAGAAAGUAGUUAUUACCUGACCAAGAGUCAUGGGGAUUUUAAGAGAACCAGCUGGAUAAAAUGUAACAGAAACUACACGGGUCAAGAAAUCCAGUUGUCCUUCUAGUUCUUCAAAAUCAUACAGCAGUGAAAGACUUGACGUAUCUUUUUCAUGGAGACGCGCACCAGCUCCAGUAAUAGCAAUAUCCUCAUCACGAAUUGGCCCUGGUAAGGGUAUCAGAAGAUUUGUACCAUUCGCACACCGCGGUAUCGAAGCAUCCUGUCCAAAAACCAGAAAUACAGACAAUCGUCAUCCAGUUGAACUAGCUUGCAUGCACGUCUACAUGAUACAAUAAAAGAGAAGGGACAAGAGAGUCAGUCAACCUGAACAACUAAUUUAAGGUCCUCUAAGUGGCGUCCAGUUUUCACGUUCACAGUGGAUGGACAUGUCAAAUCAUCCGCACCGUGUGAUAUUGUCAGUACAAGUUGACAUACAUGGCAAGGCUCACUGAGGUAGAUAACUAACUCAACAGCAUCUGCAGCUUGUGGACAUAGCUGCAAAGUAUAUAAAAAGCAGGGGAAACUUUUAGCUCAAAUUUUUGAGGGAUGAGAACAAAGAGGUAAUGUUUUAUCCAAAAGGAGGUACCCAAGUUAUGUCCUUCGUCUUGAUACUCAGCAGACUGGACCCAUCAUUGGAAGUCUCAGACAUGCUCGGUACAGGUUUCAGAAAGAAACCACCUGGCCGAGAAAGUACCUGACAUGAAAAAAAGUUCCAGUGAGCAGUAACAUUAACAUAGCUGCAGUGAAAAAUUGUAUUAGUUUGCUUACAUGUAAAGGCUGCACAGGAAUCGAUGGAAGAUGCUUGAAAAGCCUCAUUCCCAGAAACAUCUCCAGCUGCUUUUGCCGUGAACUAUCAACCAUUGCAUUUUUAUAUCUUCUCUGUAAGGUAAUUUUCAUGUUUUUCUGUGCUGCAGAAAACUGUUUAAACGCUCCUGACUCUUCACUGAAGAUAUUGAGAACUUGGCUGUGCAUAGCUUUUGAGCCAGUAUAGAGAGUUGCAUGGAUAUCACCUUGUUGCAGAAAA